GACGAACGCUGGCGGCGUGCCUAAUACAUGCAAGUAGAACGCUGAAGGAGGAGCUUACUUCUCCGGAUGAGUUGCGAACGGGUGAGUAACGCGUAGGUAACCUGCCUGGUAGCGGGGGAUAACUAUUGGAAACGAUAGCUAAUACCGCAUAACAGUAGAUAUUGCAUGAUAUCUGCUUGAAAGGUGCAAUUGCAUCACUACCAGAUGGACCUGCGUUGUAUUAGCUAGUUGGUGAGGUAACGGCUCACCAAGGCGACGAUACAUAGCCGACCUGAGAGGGUGAUCGGCCACACUGGGACUGAGACACGGCCCAGACUCCUACGGGAGGCAGCAGUAGGGAAUCUUCGGCAAUGGACGGAAGUCUGACCGAGCAACGCCGCGUGAGUGAAGAAGGUUUUCGGAUCGUAAAGCUCUGUUGUAAGAGAAGAACGAGUGUGAGAGUGGAAAGUUCACACUGUGACGGUAUCUUACCAGAAAGGGACGGCUCACUACGUGCCAGCAGCCGCGGUAAUACGUAGGUCCCGAGCGUUGUCCGGAUUUAUUGGGCGUAAAGCGAGCGCAGGCGGUUAGAUAAGUCUGAAGUUAAAGGCUGUGGCUUAACCAUAGUACGCUUUGGAAACUGUUUAACUUGAGUGCAAGAGGGGAGAGUGGAAUUCCAUGUGUAGCGGUGAAAUGCGUAGAUAUAUGGAGGAACACCGGUGGCGAAAGCUGCUCUCUGGCUUGUAACUGACGCUGAGGCUCGAAAGCGUGGGGAGCAAACAGGAUUAUAUACCCUUGUAGUCCAAGGGCGAAUUCCACAGUGGAUAUCUAGCUUUAUCGAUACCGUCGACCUGCGAGGGGGGGAUACAAGUACUACAUGUUUUGGUUCCCCUUUAGUGAGGGGUUAAUUAGGCUUGUGCAUGUAAGGCGUCUGCUAUGUAUGUUGUGUUGCUUGUGUGUGUGUUGGUGUGUGUGAGUGUUUGUGUUGUGUAUGCUG
This 976-nucleotide ribosomal RNA is filed under the name uncultured Enterobacteriaceae bacterium. RNAcentral's name for it is "bacterial SSU rRNA". The stretch from base 1 to 863 matches the Rfam family "Bacterial small subunit ribosomal RNA". Lineage: Bacteria; Pseudomonadati; Pseudomonadota; Gammaproteobacteria; Enterobacterales; Enterobacteriaceae. The record is from RNAcentral.